AGUGCGAAAAGGAUGAGUAGGUUCUUCUACAAUCACAACCGGCUGCAUGCUGAGAUGAGGGACAAGAUUGGUGGAGAGUUGAUCCGUCCUAAUGCCACCCGCUUUGGAACUGUUUUUAUUUUCCUGCAAAGUAUUCAUGAUAAGAAGGACAAGUUUCGGCAAUGGAUGGUGUCAGAUGAGUGGAAAAAUAGUGAUUGGAAAACUGAGGAAGAAUUUGACUAUAUAGAAGCAUGUUUGACAAGUAGUGAAUGGUGGAAUGACCUCAAGAGGGUUCUAGAUAGAGUGCAGCCACUAUACUUCGUACUACGAUAUGCUGAUCAGCAGAAGGAUGGGACCGUUUCUGGUUUUAAAUUAAGGAUGAUGACCGUUGUUCAGGAAUUGACAACUCAACUCGGCGAGGAUACAUAUGAAUUUGAAAAAUACAUGAGGAAGGUGGGCCCGAGGAUUCAGUAAUUGUACGACAACACGUUGAUGCUUGCAGCUGCUGCCCUUGAUCCCGAAUCACACUAUUCAUUUGCAUUUGACAAAGAUCCAGCCUAUAUUAAUAAAGUGUUAGAUGUAAUAUCAAAUAUGGCGGAUACACCACAGUCUGGAGCAAAGGCUAUGGAUGAACUUUCACUUUAUAGUAGAAACAAAGGAAAGCUUGGGGAGUGAUGGCACGGCUCGCAGCACGCACAUCUAGCCCAGCCACUUGGUGGUCUCAAUAUGGUGGAGAUGUGCCCAUGUUGCAGAAGUAUGCGAUGCGCAUUGUGUCUCAUUGUGUGUCAUCAAGUGGCUGUGAGCGCAAUUGGAGUACUUUCACGUUGAUCCAUACCAAAGUGAGAAAUAUUCUAUGUUACAUUAAGCUGACAAAGUUGGUGUACACAUGUUACAACUUGCAGCUCCUCCUUCAGCAAAAUGAGACUUAUCGAGAAGAUAAGGAGGUGAGCUCGAUCUUCCACUAUCAACAAUGCCGGUGUUCAGCGGUGCUCCUUACCAGGUGAUGAAUGUGAGAUAUAUACCAUUCUUGCCAUUUUGAAAGACAUUAUCUUUAGUGCUGCAUAUGUCUUUGGUAAUUCAUCCACUUUGUCAACUGUCUGCUAUAUGAAAAGUGGCUAAAAAGAAAGGAAAUCAAUAUGUAGAAGGUUGGUUAAGCUGAGAAUUCAUCGCCCAGCUUGCUCCUUGUUUGUUAGUCAUGCGAUGUUGGCGGAUUAUAGAGAGAAACUUAUGUGUGUGCAGUUUGUUAUUCUAUAUUUAUGAUAUUUAGGUAGAUCUGAUUUAUUCCUUUAUAGCAUAAAUGGACUUGAAUUAUAAUGUAAUUAAUGAAU
Hordeum vulgare subsp. vulgare (domesticated barley) is the source of this 1307-nucleotide long non-coding RNA. RefSeq lists it as uncharacterized. The record is from RefSeq and is a predicted model, not a curated record. The transcript is spliced from 4 exons. NCBI's taxonomy places the organism in Eukaryota, Viridiplantae, Streptophyta, Magnoliopsida, Poales, Poaceae.